Non-coding RNA from Myotis brandtii (Brandt's bat), 75 nucleotides. NCBI's taxonomy places the organism in Eukaryota, Metazoa, Chordata, Mammalia, Chiroptera, Vespertilionidae. The record is from Rfam.
GGCGGUUCUCAGGUGACGCACCCUGGAAUUGGGCUCCCUCCUCUCUGGUUCCAGGUGUGUCACCCAAGAACUGCU